Long non-coding RNA from Lemur catta (Ring-tailed lemur), 2032 nucleotides. RefSeq lists it as uncharacterized. The record is from RefSeq and is a predicted model, not a curated record. The transcript is spliced from 2 exons. Lineage: Eukaryota; Metazoa; Chordata; Mammalia; Primates; Lemuridae.
GGAGGCUGCCCCGCCCCGUGGGAGCGCGCGGGCCCGGCUGAGUCCCGGCUGUUCCCGCGCCCCGGGUGUUCCCGCGGCCCGGGGCUGUCGGGGGGCGGGGCAGGCCUUUCUGCACGCGAAGGGGUGGGCUGCUCGGUGACGGGGAGCAGCGGGGGCGCACGGAGCCGGGAAACACGGUCUGGUUCCGGUUGCCUCGCGGUCCUGGGUGUCCCCACCUUUAAAGCAGGCGAGCCCCUUGCCACCGUGUCCCGGAGCCACGGCGAAGUCACAUUGACCACCCAGCCGGUAAAGUCCGUCCGGCGGGGGUGCACACGCGGGCACUCUGAGCUCGGUUUAUGUGUUGAAAGGGGGCGACUUAAGGGCUGGUAGAUUGCACUUCCGCGGCUCCAAACUUCUAGGCCUGUCUGCAUCUCAUUUAUUUCUCCUACCUCUCUUCAACUAAAAAAAAAAAAAAAAGUAAGAAAUAGAAGCGCCGCCUAUGGAAGCUGUUUUAGUUCCAGAGGAAGUGUAGAGACAAACUGACAGCCCCUCUCCAGUAAUUCUGGGGUUGUGUCAAACUCGGUUCCAGGGCCUAGGAAGGUGGAGGAUCUGAUUCAGGGCUGAGGGCUCUGACAUCGCGCAUCUUCUAAAGGUAUCUGCACGGCUACAUCGCAGCGCUGUGGUGCUGCUGGUGGCUGUUUAAAUGAAAUAUUAAAGCCUUGUCUUUAAAGAAAUGCAGUGAUAUUUGAAAUAGGGCUGAAUGUUGAUUUUAGAAAACAGUGGGUUUUCCGAAGUCAUGAGAUUUAUGCAGGAGGAACUGGAGUUAUGCCACUUAAGAGAAAAACUGACAUAUGGAGUGAUGACCACGUAUCUGAUCACACGGAGAGCUGCUGGUCCCUGGAAAGAUGACCCACUGAACUGUAGACUUACUUGGAAAAGUUUAAGGGAACACUUGAAGAAAAAAGCUGGGAGCUGCAGUUCCUUGAGGAUUAUGGGUCAUUCGGCCCCAUAACUGCUUCUGGUCCUCUUCAGAUUUGCUUGACCUGCUGGGUGCAGCCAUGAUGCAUGAGAAGCUGGAACUCCCGGUGUUUCAGCUUGGUGUGAAUUCAGGAAGGGGAGGCAGGCCUGCAGCCUUCAUUCCCUUAUGUGGAUGCUACAGAUAAAAUGCUGUUGGUCUCUGCAGGGUUCUGUUCUCAGUGCCGCAGAAUGUAAGUGCUCUCUUGCAGAAUUUACAGGAUGGAGCAGGAUGGAGGCUGCGGCUGGAGGAAAUCCUCUCUGGUUUGGUGAGUGAGCCUCUCACAAUGCGCUGACUUGUGCAGUCCUGACCUGACGUUGGCAACACCAACUGUUCAGGAAAGUUGAAAAAAAUGUGAGCUUAUUCAGAGUUAGAUUCCGUUUUGAGGAAAUAUCAUUUCUCCCAAGCAUUCAUGCAGACCCUCUACCCACCUCAUAAAUGGUCUGCUGGCCUUGCCAGAAGGUUGGAGAGAGGCAGAUGACAUAGCCAUUUUAAAAAAAGGGAAGAAAGUUCUGUAAACCACAGACCAGUGAACUUGACAUUGGGCCUGGGAAAUAUUCAGGACAGAUGACUCACGAAAAAUAUUUGUGACCCCUCAGAAGAGGAAGCACCAGUGACAAAGAUCGCGCCAUGCUAGGUUAACCUUACUUUCUGCUGUGGAAUGUAUAGACUGGAGAGACUAGACCUCCUCCCCUUGCAGUUACUGAUCUUUGUCAUAGAUUAACUGCCUCCUUUAUUGUCCUGUGCCUAACUCGGACCAGAUGGUGCAAAAGACUCCACUCCACGACUGUUACAUUGGUGUGGAAUGUUAAAUAUACCUUUCCCGAAAGAAAAAGACUGUCCCAACUAAUUAGAUCGUUUUAACUAUGCAUUAAGCCUUAUAUAGAAAGAUGUUAAAAUUCUGUUAAGCUUUCCUAAACUUUGGAUGAACAAUCCCAAACUUCUACACUUUGGAACACUGGCUUCCAUUCUUUGGACUCUCUGCUUCCCAGGUGGCUAGCCUCAAACUUUGCACUCCAAUAAACUCUCUAUAAACUA